Long non-coding RNA from Fundulus heteroclitus (mummichog), 4488 nucleotides. RefSeq lists it as uncharacterized. The record is from RefSeq and is a predicted model, not a curated record. The transcript is spliced from 2 exons. Lineage: Eukaryota; Metazoa; Chordata; Actinopteri; Cyprinodontiformes; Fundulidae.
AUAGGAAAAAAGGGAGUUUUUGCCUUCCCGGACAGACGGCUUGGGUUCCCCCGCACGGACCUGGCCCCUCCGCGCUGGGGUGGAGGAGAGAGGACAGAGAAGUGGUGAACCUAACGACAGCGAGGCCGGAGAUGAACUCUCACAGCCUGCAGCCAGCGCCACAGCAUCAGCUAACGACAGCUCAACCACGAGAGAAAGCAACGAGUAAUGUGGGUCGAGACAGUCGACGUCCAACCAUGAACUGUGGGACUUCGGUCUAUAAAGGGAAAUCCACCUUUGUAGAACAAGAUAAGUACAACACAACGUUAAUGGGUUUGAACAAGUACACACCAGUGUUUUUGCCAGCUGAACUAAAGUUAACGACUCAUCUAGGUCUUAGAGAACACUUAAGAGUAAAAACAAAAAGAAUGCGUAAGAAAAGACAGACCCAUGCUGAAUUCAAAUGGAAAGCAACGGUAACCGAUACAGAAUUUCAUACAGAAUUAGAUACAGAAUUUGAGGUAAAUGUCUAUUACAAUACCAGGAAAUUAUGCGGAAAAAGUGUUAAAUAGGAAUAUAAAGUGUAUGGGGCAGACCAGUGUUCAAUCCUUUUAUACAUUAAGGACGAUGGUUUUGGCGUAGAAGUAAGAAUAGAGUCCCAUUGGGAUCCUGAGGACAAUUACAAAUACGACUUAACAAUAAAAAAUCCAGGUAAUGGUAAAGGAGGUACACAAAAUGGUGAUUUAGAGCGAAUAGGAGACAAGGAGAUGAUUGCUACAGUUCAAAUUGUUAAUGAUCAAAUUAGGAUUCAUGUUGAACCAGACAGUGAUAAAUAUGAUUUGGUUGAAAGAAACGUGAUUAUCUCUAGAUUGUUGCAAAAGGGUGACAGACGAAGGAUGUGUAAUUCGCAUGCUAAUGUGAGCCAUCAAUUAUCUAGUAUAAAUCAAGAAAACAUUAAUUGUAAAAUGACUGUUAAGAUUACAAAUUGUGGAUGGAUUAUUGAAGCAGAUGUUAUAGCCUUCCGUAUUGACAAAACAUACGAGUUGAAAUUUGAAGACAUCCCUUCAAGUGGAAAAGUUGAUUCAUCUAUAUUAUGGAACCUACCGAAAAAGAGGCUUUACCAAAAGAAAUCAUUUGUUUCCCCCCAACAACUAUGGCUUCUACAACUACUGUAGAAGUGAAGAAAUUACUGUCCCAAGUGCACAUGUGACUGUACCUACUUCAAUCACCACAUCAGGACCAAAUAAACCGACAACCUUAACAGUUAAGACAUUAACAGUUACAUCAGCAUCUACAAUCUUGACUAGCACAAUACAAAGUUCAAACAAUAACGAUAAAACUACACAGGUAUAUACAAAUAAAAAGGAAGUGCUACCAACAGAGGUUGAUAACAGUUUAGAAAAUGAAAAACCUACGGUGCCUCGACCUGAAAAUAGCAUAACCGAACCUCCAACAACCGCCACGGCUAAAGCAAAUCCACGGACAAUAGUUUCAACUGCAGUAGAACCCAAAACAGCAGUAGUUUCAAGUACAGUUAAAUCCACAAAGGAAGUUUUAAAAAGUACUAAACCUUCAUUAACAAGAUUAAUUACAACAGUACCUUCUCUGGUUGAGGUAACGUCAAAACCAGGACAACAACCUAAUAUUAGAUUUCAAAGAACCGGAUCCAAAACAGUAUGGAUGCUCUGAAAAAGAAGGAUGUGAGGAUUUCUCUGAAGGUUUAGAUCAAUUUUAUGAAAAACGCAAUCCAAAAGUAGCUAUACCAAGAGCAAUAAAUAAACUACAGGAUAUUAAAUGGCACGGAAUCAGACCAAGGGGAGAUCCUUUAUGGCAAAGAGCCUUACAUAACACAUGGUAUACAACAGCAUGGUAUACUGUCAGGGAGUUAACUAAAAAUGAUUGCUUAGUCUGUACUGUUGCUCCGGGAGCAGUACCUAUGGUUAUUCCAGAAAAAUACAGGUCAAAAGAAUGUGCAGUAGUGCAGCGUAAAAAUGUAGCAAUGGUGAGUUCACUUCAAGAGAAGACGCAGUGUAAUUUUUUAAAUUACCUAUGUGUGGUUUGAGUUGCAGACUCUUAUAUGGUUCAAGAAACUCUCAUCAAUACUUAGAAAAUGGAAAGGGUAUAAAUUAGAAUCAUUGUGUGCAGAAUUUAACUUUAAUACUACAGAUAAUGUUCCACCUACUGAUUAUGACAUAGAUUAUGAUGCAGACUACGAAUGUUUCGUUAGUGGAGGUUUUGAGGACAAUGAAGGAAUUAAUGUAGGAAACACCACUGUGAAAUGUAAUGUAACUUGGGUGUUAUCUUGGUUUAAGCAUGCAAAUGUAACACCAGUGUUUGCUACAAAGCCCGUUUGGUUUGAAAACCCAGAAUUUGUAGAAGAGGACUGUAAAAAUAUAACUAUGACUUUUCCCAAACUUUUCUUUUUAGGAGAUCAAACGUAUCCAGUGGCAGACAGUUACUGGAUGUGUGGUGAUGACAUGCUAAUGAACACUUUACCACUGAAGUGGAUAGGACUUUGUGCAUUAGUACGAAUGAAAGUACCGAUAACCUUAGUGUAUGAAGGGGUAAAAGAACUAGCUCAAAUGGAAACAGGUAAAACUAGGUCCCGUCGGAGUCUAGGAGAUUACGGACUAAAGGAAAAAGUUUAUUUAAAUCUUAUUGGUCAACCAAGAGGAAUUCCAGAUGAAUUUAAAGCACAACAUGAAGUUAAAGCAGGUUUUGAGUCUAUUUUGCCUCAGAUUACUAUUAAUAAAAAUGUUGAAUGGAUAAAUUACAUUUAUUAUAAUCAGCAGAGGAUGAUAAAUUUCACGGUGGAAGGAUUUAUGGCACUAGGAGACCAAUUACAUGAAACAAGUAGAAUGGCAAUACAAAACAGGCAAGCUUUAGAUGGGCUUCUAGCCAGCAAGGGAGGUGUAUGUCAUAUGUUUGGCAAUGAGUGCUGUACAUAUAUUCCCAUGAACACAGCUCCUAAAGGUUCGUUUAGGGUAGUAAUGGCUAAACUUAUGAAACUUAGAGAAGAAGUAAAAGAGAAUGCUGGAAGAAACAACUGGUCGUGGAAAAGUCUGGAAGAAAUUUUAGGAGAAUGGGGAGCAAUGGCUGCAAAAACAGGAAUAAUUUUGGUGAUAACGCUGAUUGUAUUCUUUCUAAUUGUGUGUUGUGUUGUGCCUGUUUUGAAAAGGUGGAUUGUGGGGACAAUGUAUAGAUGGAUGACAUCAGGCAGCAGCCAUCCGAAGGGCUGAUCCCCGGCCGCCUGGACACGUCCAUGGACUCAUGCGUGUGCUACAGACUCAUGCCACAUGGAAAGGAGCCCCGUGAUCGGGAUGAACUCUUUUUGUUUUGCUACGUGUCCAGGAACUCAUUCAAGCCAAGCACACAACUGAAGAUGACUAACCCUAUUAACCUUGUUUAAGUUACUCAAUAAAUAAAUAAACAAAAUACAAUACAAUGAAGCUUUGAUAGAUAAGGUAGCACAGGCGGCCGGUUAGUUUAGUUUAUACUAUCAUAACAUUAGAUUCUAACAUCCAUUUCGUUUUUUAAUCCUGCGUAUCAAUAUUAUUAGCAAGAUCAUUUACAUAUGUUGUUUGUUGUUUGUAUUAUGAUGUUUUGUUAUUGUAUCAUGCUUAUGUACUCUUUUUAUAUGACAAGUGCUGGAUGUCAUUGCGAGUAGCAUGGCUGACUUCCAAUUGAUGCCGUCGGUCAGGUGACCGAUGAUAACGGCGGAUGCUCAGAGGUAUAAGAGGUCCAUGAAAGACUUUUUCCCCGAGAAUGACACAUAAAUAAGUGAUAAUUAUCGGGGUUUUUUCACUUUCAUAUCUAAAUUGGAAAGAUGUUAUUGCAAAAGCAAUGACUGUUUUGCAUACGUGCACUCUCUCUCUGACUCUCUCUCUGUCUCUCUGUCUCUCUCUCUCCUCUAUCCAUUGGAAAUAUGUUAUUGAUUGUAAUCUGCACUUAUUACAUGACAUUUUAUAUCAGCACUUGUGUAGACACCAUGAUUACAUUAGUAUGUUAUCCAUUGGUUGUGUAAGAAAUUAGACUUUUUUACAUGUUUGUUAUUAUCACAGCUAGACUUGAUCAGUGUGGAGUCAGAUUUUCAAUAUAGAGGUCUUCUAGAUAUGUCACGCUGUAACGUGCCAAGGGAGGAUUUAUGGGAGUUCGGGUCAUUUUGACCUUUUUCCCUGGCUCUCGCCGAUGGAAGCAACAGGAAACCAUCUGGAGUCGUUAUUUACUAGGACUGUUCCAAAAUAUGUCAAGUAGCGGAAUUAAUCGCUCUGUUGUUGUACUUUUAGUGAUAAACACUUCCCAGAAUUUAAGCCCUGUUGCCAAUUGACGUCAAUAGCGUGUAACGCACACACACCAAUGGAGACACACAGACACUUGUGUUUAACGCACACACAUUAUGUUCUUUUAAAAAGACGACCAUUGUAUUUGAAUGUCAGAAUUCGCACCGGAAACCCGUUUGUACGUUUCUAGGCAUAAUAAAGACGAAUUCUCGUUGUUAAGACAAAGGAA